UGGCCCACGAAGCCUCAAAUAUUGCCUCUGGCCCUUCACAGAACACGUGUUCUAGAAAGGAAAUCCUAUGCUCGUGGGCUAGGGGCUUGCUGGGUGGGGAGAGGGGUUCAAAACGUGGUUUGUCACUUCCUAUGAGGGUGAUCCGACAGGACUUCGUGGAGACGGUGGCGUUUAAGUGGCCUAAGAAGAACUGGAAGGAUUCAGAGGAGCGGAGGGACGUGGCCUGGUGGGCAGAAGUCAUGGCUGGGUGUCGCAGGCUCUGUGCAGCUCUGACAGCUGCAAUGCAGGCAGGCACCGCCCCCCCCCCCCCCAAUGCUUUACGGCCAUCGGGUCUGCAAGUUAUAAACUUGGUUACCCCCAGAACGUUGUUUAAACAGUACUGUGUUCUAGAACAUGCUGAGAUAGCAUUUAUGCAACUGAUGCCAAGGUGUGGAACAGGUUAGUCUGGCUUUUUCCUCAACAAUCCAGGAGGAGGACAGGGAGAAGGCAGCAUUGUUCCUGAGCGGGUGAGGCCAAUUUCAUCCUGAGUGAUAGUGACAGUAAUAACUGAUAAGAAAUGAAAUCACAGCUUUUCACACGCAGAGCCUGACUAAUGGCUGACCCUUCCUCCAUCUCUGGGUGCUCAUGCUGGAGAGCGAUGGGCCCUCCCUCCACUGCCGGGGGGGGACGUGCUGGAGAGUGACAGGCCCUACUUCCAAUCCUCGGUGUUUCUGCUGGAGAGCAAGGGGCCCUCCCUCCUCUCCUUGGUGCACGUGCUGGAGAGUGACGGGCCGGCAGUUCACGCCUCGUGCUCCUGCUGGAGAGCGAUGGGCCCUCCCUCCAAUCCUUGGUGCACAUGCUGGAGAGUGACAGGCCCGCAGUCCACUCCUGGUGCUCCUUCUGGAGUGACAGGCUCUCUCUCCACUCCGUGGUGCACGUGCUGGAGAGUGACGGGCCCGCAGUUCACUCCUGGUGCUCCUGCUGGAGUGACAGGCUCUCUCUCCACUCCGUGGUGCACGUGCUGGAGAGUGACGGGCCGGCAGUCCACUCCUCGUGCUCCUGCUGGAGAGCGACAGGCCCUCCCUCCAAUCCUUGGUGCUUCUGCUGGAGAGCGACAGGCUCUCCCUCCACUCCUCGGUGUGCGUGCUGGAGAGUGACAGGCCCUCCCUCCACUCCUCAUGCUCCUGCUGGAGAGCCGCAGGCCCUCCCUCCACUCGUGCUCCUGCUGGAGAGCGACAGGCCCUCCCUCCGGUCUUCGGUGCGCGUGCUGGAGAGCGGCAGGAGCUCGGCCUUCUUAGGGUGUUUGGGACCCCAUCCAGCGUGGUUUUGCUUUAGUUCCCCGCCCAGGGAGAGGAGCUCGGCAAGCAGCACCGGGUUUAUUCUUGCUCAUUUAUUCAAAAGAAAGGUACUGAGUUUGAAAAUGCACCAAGCACUGGAGAGAAGAGAAAGGUGAGAGGACCUCGGGGCCUGCCUGUAAGAGGCUCAGGAUGUGGCUGGGGAUGAGGCCCAGUGGCACCUUCAACGCAGGAGAUGAGGGGGUCUGGAUCCCACCGUCAGAGCACGCACGCAACCUGUCCACUCCCUCAGGACUGCAGAAAAGGUCCAUUCUUGUAUUUCUUUUUAAGUUGAAUUAAAUCCAUCUCUAGCCCCUGCCUCUGAACUGAUGGAGUGUGGCUGUUAUUGGGCCGCCCUCACCCGCAAGGGGUGGAACCAGAGCUUGGGGCUGAGGCGCUCCUGGAGUGUUUAGCGCCUCUGCUGUCAGGACAUCCUGUGGCCACUGGCACGCUGUCUUCCCACACAGAGCCCCCGACCAGCAGCGGAGCCACCCACUCUCCACAGCCAGGGUUGGGAGCCCUGGGGCCCGAGUCCCCGGUCCCACGUGCCACACAAGGCAGGACAUUCUGGGUGCUGUCGCAUCCCCGGAAUCAGGGCCUGGACCCUGGUCAGAGCAGGACCUGCAGGUGACCCCGGGUGGGGCAGACUGUCUUCUGUCCUUGGUGGCAAAGCCGGUGUUCUCGGCGUCAUGUCUGCACACGUGUGCCUGAAGCCACGGGAACGCAGGGGCUACCUCCGGGCCUGGGCCUGGGCUGUGGAGCAGGAUCGGGGAGGACACACAGGUGGGCGUCUCAAGAACUGUGGUGUACACAGCUGAGCCCCUGCAGCUCUGCUUUGCCGGGCCUCACCCUCGGUGCUGGGUGCAAGACGUGACAAGAUGGCAUGGGAAGCUUCCCGGGGAACGCUGGAACUGGGUGUUUGAAGGAGGACCUCAUGGCGGCAGCUCCAGCCCAAGUACUGCAACUGUGGGGCCGUGCCAGGAGCAGGUGCUGCGGAGCCUGUGUGGGUCCAGGACAAGAGGUAAGGGGAGUAUGGACGGGGCUGCACUGUCCUGGGGUUGAGGGCAGGCUUCAGGGGGUAACACUGAAUAGGGACUAGGAAGGUGCAUGCCAGGGGGGGUCCAGGCAGAGACAAGUGGGGGCACAAUCCUCGAGGGGGCAUAGAAGAGGCCAGCAGUGUAAGGCAGGAUGGCGAUGCCCACGGGCUCCAACGCCUGCUGUGUAACUGGAAUUCUGUCUGUGGCCUCCGGCGUCUGACAUGCGUUCUCACACCUGCAGGAGCACCAGAAGCCCCUGGAGGGCCGUGCAGACGACACUGUCGGGCCGGCCCAGCCCAGGCCCCAGCAGUUAUGACUCCUCUGUGAUCAGAGGAUGUGGCUGAGGAUGUGCAUUUCCGUCAAGUUCCCAGGAGAACCUGGUGCUGCUGCUUCGGGGACCCCACUUUGAGGACCACUGAUCUAACACUGCCCCUCGUGGCAAACGCGGAAUGACUCAAGAUUCAGCUGGAUGGAUCAUUCAGGGAGCAAAUCCACCUUUGCCGCCUGGCACACCCUGGCCAUUCGCUCACUGUCCACGUGGACGUAUAAACUAUGGGAGAAACAGUGAUGGCCUCUCCUCCACCACCAGGCUGGCAGGGGUCGUUUGGCUGGCAUCAGGCUGGAGGAGACUCGGAUGGGUAAGACCAACGCACUUAGUUUGGGUGUGUGGGGAGGGCAAGAGGAGCAUGAGCGGCGAUCUGUCUUCCCUGUUGUAAAUCCCCCUGUACGUGCAGGUGCAUGGCGAGAGGGUCUCCACACCUCCCAGCUUUUCUCUGAGGAUGUCCAGAAGGAACGAGCAAAGCAGGAUUGGCCUCCAGAACAGAGGCCCCGAGGCUGACUCCAGAUUUCCUGUGUCUACGACCUAUGUCCUCCCAGCACGCCUGCCCCUUGCGUUCAUGAACAGUGACCCAGCUGCAGGGACUGCGUGGCUGAACGCCGACCAACUGUGGGGCAGUCCUGGGCUGGGCCGUGGCUUGGGACCAAGAAGACACGCAGCAGACACCAGUGAAGCAGGAGUUUUAUUGAGUUCCUCCAUGUCACAUUAAUACAUUAGCUUCAUGACACAGUUUCAAAGACCCGGGUCCUUCUGACGUAGUGUGUUGGAGGCAGCUAGGCCAGCUUGAGGCACUGCGUGUUAAAGCUGUCCCCCUCCUUGCCGGCGACAGCCUCCAGCAGGGCCUGUUUCUUCUGCAUGCUCCGCGAGGACUCCAGCUCGUACAUGGUGGUCAGGUUGAAGAGCACGCUCUCGUGCAGGUAGUGCCUGGGGUCCUGCUGGACCAUGGCCUCCAGCUGCCGCAGGGAGUCCUUCAGCUUGCCCAGGUAGAGCAGACACACGGCAGCGUUGUUGUUGGCCUAGGGAGGAGCACACGCCCAGGGUCGGCCCACACAACCAGGACAGACGCCCGCCCAUUCCAGGCUGUGUGCUGGGCCGUGUUAGGGGCCUGGGGGUGGUGCAGAGCUGCUGGGCAGAGCCUAGGUGGCCCUGUUGGGUCACUUCCCCUAAGGGCCACGGCCACUGCCUGGAGCUGGUGGACUGGAGAGAGAGAGCGCAGGCCCCUGCUGAGACGUGUGUGGGUGUAUGUUUCUAGCGUCUGUGAAAGGCAGAGGACGGAGGAUCCUGCAGCUUGGGGAUCUUACCACUGCGUUUGUUGGAUCCAUCCUUAAGAUCUCUGUGAAGAACCUGUGGGCUUCUGCGAAGUUAUUCUGCCCGAGGUGAAGGAACGCGCUGUAACACAAGCAACGGUGGCAGUUAGCGGGGAAAGCCCAGGAGCUGCUGUCCCCCAACACAACCCACAGGGGCUUUGGAUCCCACAGAGACCCAGCGUAUGGCCCUGCGUGGCCCGGGGUUCCUGAUCUCCAGGUAGAGGCGGUGAGCUGCGUUUUGCAUUCAGGCUCGCACAUUAAAGCCACUCUAGUUUUUAUUUAUUUUUAUUUUUUAGACGGAGUUUUGCUCUCGUUGCCCAGGCUGUAGUGCAGUGGCACGAUCUCGGCUCACCGCAACCUCCGCCUCCUGGAUUCAAGCAACUCUCCUGCCUCAGCCUCCCAAGUAGCUGGGACUACAGGCGCAUGCCACCACGCCUGGCUGAUUUUUUGUAUUUUUAGUAGAGAUGGGGUUUCACCAUGUUGGCUGGGCUGGUCUUAAACUCCUGACCUCAAGUGAUCUACCUGCCUCAGCCUCCCAAAGUGCUGAGAUUACAGGCAUGAGCCACUGCACCCGGCCAAGCCACUCUAGUUUUUAUUAAUUGAGAUACAGUAACUUCACCUAAAUGACUUCCUGCUAAAAACGGACACCUGCUUCAUUUACGCUUUCUGAUCCUGGGUGCAGGCUUUGUCCAAGGCGUGUUUCCUCCUCACGAACGUGCACUCGCACGACGCUGUGCGUUCUACCACAGAACACCAGAGCACAGGAUCCAGACACAGAACACCAGGGCACAGGAUCCAGACACAGAACACCAGGGCACAGGAUCCAGACACAGAACACCAGGGCACAGGAUCCAGACACAGAACACCAGGGCACAGGAUCCAGACACAGAACACCAGAGCACAGGAUCCAGACACAGAACACCAGAGCACAGGAUCCAGACACAGAACACCAGAGCACAGGAUCCAGAACGGCCGCUACGCCAGCAAUGGUGACCUUUACGCACACAUACGCUGCAAACGGGGGCAAUACAAGCGCUUCUCUGAAGAACAAGGGGGAAAUAGCUCCUUAAAAAUCAGCUUCUGUGACUAAAAGAACAUCACUGCAAUUCAAGAAAACACCCGUGUACUCCUUGGGUCUCAGCUCUGAGAGACACAGGGCAAGAGGAGAUACCGGGAGAAGCGCCUUCUCUAGGGAGCUUUCCGACUCAGUAAGUGGGGCUUGAACGCCUCUGGGAAAUUUGAGAAAACAUAUAUUUAGUUUUAAAAUAUUUACCUGUUCAUCAAAACCAUGAUUUUACCCUGUAGUCCAUCUAAUUUCUGUGUCACUUUCUCAACGUCUUGAAAAUACUUUUCAGCUGUUUUUAUGUCUCCAA
RNAcentral lists this long non-coding RNA (5367 nucleotides) under Pan troglodytes (chimpanzee). Its description in RNAcentral is "long non-coding RNA NONPTRT010318". Lineage: Eukaryota; Metazoa; Chordata; Mammalia; Primates; Hominidae. The record is from RNAcentral.